CAGCAGCCGCGGUAAUACGGAGGGUGCGAGCGUUGUUCGGAAUUAUUGGGCGUAAAGCGCGUGUAGGCGGUUUUUUAAGUCUGAUGUGAAAGCCCUGGGCUCAACCCGGGAAGUGCAUUGGAAACUGGGAGACUUGAAUACGGGAGAGGGCAGUGGAAUUCCUGGUGUAGGAGUGAAAUCCGUAGAUAUCAGGAGGAACACCGGUGGCGAAGGCGGCUGCCUGGACCGAUAUUGACGCUGAGACGCGAAAGCGUGGGGAGCAAACAGGAUUAGAUACCCUGGUAGUCCACGCGGUAAACGAUGAGUACUAGGUGUCGCGGGUAUUGACCCCUGCGGUGCCGCAGCUAACGCAUUAAGUACUCCGCCUGGGAAGUACGGCCGCAAGGCUAAAACUCAAAGGAAUUGACGG
RNAcentral lists this ribosomal RNA (409 nucleotides) under uncultured bacterium. RNAcentral describes it as "bacterial SSU rRNA". It matches the Rfam family "Bacterial small subunit ribosomal RNA", at positions 509 to 916 of the family's 1533-position model. The record is from RNAcentral.